RNAcentral lists this ribosomal RNA (253 nucleotides) under uncultured bacterium. RNAcentral describes it as "partial 16S ribosomal RNA". It matches the Rfam family "Bacterial small subunit ribosomal RNA", at positions 524 to 776 of the family's 1533-position model. The record is from RNAcentral.
UACGAAGGGGGCUAGCGUUGCUCGGAAUCACUGGGCGUAAAGGGUGCGUAGGCGGGUCUUUAAGUCAGGGGUGAAAUCCUGGAGCUCAACUCCAGAACUGCCUUUGAUACUGAAGAUCUUGAGUUCGGGAGAGGUGAGUGGAACUGCGAGUGUGGAGGUGAAAUUCGUAGAUAUUCGCAAGAACACCAGUGGCGAAGGCGGCUCACUGGCCCGAUACUGACGCUGAGGCACGAAAGCGUGGGGAGCAAACAGG